GACGAACGCUGGCGGCGUGCUUAACACAUGCAAGUCGAACGGAAAGGCCCUGCUUUUGUGGGGUGCUCGAGUGGCGAACGGGUGAGUAACACGUGAGUAACCUGCCCUUGACUUUGGGAUAACUUCAGGAAACAGGGGCUAAUACCGGAUAGGAGCUCCUGCUGCAUGGGGGGGGUUGGAAAGUUUCGGCGGUUGGGGAUGGACUCGCGGCUUAUCAGCUUGUUGGUGGGGUAGUGGAGUACCAAGGCUUUGACGGCUAGCCGGCCUGAGAGGUUGACCGGCGACAUGGGGACUGAGAGACGGCCCAGACGCCUACGGGAGGCAGCAGUGGGGAACAUUACACAAUGGGGCGAAGCCAGAGGCAGCAGCGCCGCGUGCGGAAUGACGGCCUUCGGGUUGUAAACCGCUUUCGCCUGUGACGAAGCGUGAGUGACGGUAAUGGGUAAAGAAGCACCGGCUAACUACGUG
This 468-nucleotide ribosomal RNA is filed under the name uncultured bacterium. RNAcentral's name for it is "partial 16S ribosomal RNA". It matches the Rfam family "Bacterial small subunit ribosomal RNA", at positions 28 to 507 of the family's 1533-position model. The record is from RNAcentral.